AACGCUGGCGGCAGGCUUAACACAUGCAAGUCGAGCGCCCCGCAAGGGGAGCGGCAGACGGGUGAGUAACGCGUGGGAAUCUACCCAUCGCCUACGGAAUAACGCAUGGAAACGUGUGCUAAUACCGUAUACGCCCUUAGGGGGAAAGAUUUAUCGGGGAUGGAUGAGCCCGCGUUGGAUUAGCUAGUUGGUGGGGUAAAGGCCUACCAAGGCGACGAUCCAUAGCUGGUCUGAGAGGAUGAUCAGCCACAUUGGGACUGAGACACGGCCCAAACUCCUACGGGAGGCAGCAGUGGGGAAUAUUGGACAAUGGGCGCGAGCCUGAUCCAGCCAUGCCGCGUGAGUGAUGAAGGCCUUAGGGUUGUAAAGCUCUUUCACCGAUGAAGAUAAUGACGGUAGUCGGAGAAGAAGCCCCGGCUAACUUCGUGCCAGCAGCCGCGGUAAUACGAAGGGGGCUAGCGUUGUUCGGAAUUACUGGGGCGUAAAGCGCAUGUAGGCGGAUAUUUAAGUCAGGGGGUGAAAUCCCAGAGCUCACUCUGGGAACUGCCUUUU
RNAcentral lists this ribosomal RNA (552 nucleotides) under uncultured bacterium. RNAcentral's name for it is "bacterial SSU rRNA". It matches the Rfam family "Bacterial small subunit ribosomal RNA", at positions 32 to 628 of the family's 1533-position model. The record is from RNAcentral.